UGCUAGCUAAGUGUUAUAUAGCGAUAACGAAAUGAAGAACCCCUCAGCGUCAUCACCACUGAAAGGAACGUACAUGGAACCGCUGCAUCGACUGAGGCUCUCAGUGGGAUCUCGUCACAUCUACUUCGCGUUUGGUAUCCUGGCCACGAGCUAAUCCAGUAUAUCAUAGCCGAAACGGUAUUCAAGGUUUACCACCUCAUAUGAGGCGUUGCGAUUACGGCCUUAAUUCUCUGCAACCGGUCUUCUGGUAGAGUUCGUUUCCAACUCAUUUUCUGAUGCAAGACCUUCACGAGGAUGGUUGCUUCGGGGCGUAGACGCGCUUUCCUGCUAUUUGGUGAUUCAUUAACCCAACGCGCGUUUGAGUGCGGAGGCUGGGGUGCUCGUUUGGCCCACCUUUUGUCUCGCAAAGCAGACAUCAUCUGUCGAGGUUUUGGAGCUUACAACACAAGGUGGUGCCGUCAUGUGGUGAGACACAUCGGUUCUUACCGAGAUUACUUCUCUGUUGUCACCGUACUUUUAGGCACGAAUGAUGCGGCACUCCCAGAUGUCGAGCCUGUUCAAGCGGUUCCACUAGACGAGUAUGUUGAAAAUUUGGAUGAUAUUCUGAAAUACCUCCGUAACCGAAGUGAGUUUGUUAUACUUUUCUCUCCUCCAUCAGUAGGGGAACUCGGGCGACUACGAGCCCAACAUCACAAAUAUGUUGCUGACGCUCACGACUGGUUAGAUAGGAACAACCUACACUCUGCAAAAUAUGCAUCUGUUGCCAAGGUGGUGGCGGAAAAUCGUGCACUAGUUUGUGUCGACAUGUUCCGGCUCACCUCAGUGCAACUUUUUUUGGGUGAAAACAUGCUGAUAGAUGGCAUCCACUUCACUGCAACGGGACAUCUUUUUCUUCUGAAAAGUCUUUUGCACGAGCUUCGUGCCGAAGCACACAUCUUAUCCGCCGAAAACAUGCGACCAGACUGGC
This 967-nucleotide long non-coding RNA is filed under the name Micromonas commoda. RNAcentral describes it as "long non-coding RNA (MCOM_LNC000051)". The record is from RNAcentral. Lineage: Eukaryota; Viridiplantae; Chlorophyta; Mamiellophyceae; Mamiellales; Mamiellaceae.